This 431-nucleotide ribosomal RNA is filed under the name uncultured bacterium. Its description in RNAcentral is "partial 16S ribosomal RNA". It matches the Rfam family "Bacterial small subunit ribosomal RNA", at positions 29 to 507 of the family's 1533-position model. The record is from RNAcentral.
AACGAACGCUGGCGGCAGGCUUAACACAUGCAAGUCGAACGCCCCGCAAGGGGAGUGGCAGACGGGUGAGUAACGCGUGGGAACAUACCCUUUCCUGCGGAAUAGCUCCGGGAAACUGGAAUUAAUACCGCAUACGCCCUACGGGGGAAAGAUUUAUCGGGGAAGGAUUGGCCCGCGUUGGAUUAGCUAGUUGGUGGGGUAAAGGCCUACCAAGGCGACGAUCCAUAGCUGGUCUGAGAGGAUGAUCAGCCACAUUGGGACUGAGACACGGCCCAGACUCCUACGGGAGGCAGCAGUGGGGAAUAUUGGACCAUGGGCGCAAGCCUGAUCCAGCCAUGCCGCGUGAGUGAUGAAGGCCUUAGGGUUGUAAAGCUCUUUCACCGAUGAAGAUAAUGACGGUAGUCGGAGAAGAAGCCCCGGCUAACUUCGUG